Molecule: ribosomal RNA, 247 nt
Filed under: uncultured bacterium
Lineage: Bacteria
Description: partial 16S ribosomal RNA
Rfam family: Bacterial small subunit ribosomal RNA
Source: RNAcentral
UGGGUAACCCGCCUCAAAGAGGGGAAUAGCCUCCCGAAAGGGAGAUUAAUACCGCAUAAUAUGUUUAGGUCGCAUGACUUUAACAUCAAAGGAUUUUCUUUUAGAAAUUUCCACUUUGAGAUGGACCCGCGGCGCAUUAGCUAGUUGGUGAGGUAACGGCUCACCAAGGCAACGAUGCGUAGCCGACCUGAGAGGGUGAUCGGCCACAUUGGAACUGAGACACGGUCCAGACUCCGUACGGGAGCAG